This 250-nucleotide ribosomal RNA is filed under the name uncultured bacterium. RNAcentral describes it as "partial 16S ribosomal RNA". It matches the Rfam family "Bacterial small subunit ribosomal RNA", at positions 805 to 1058 of the family's 1533-position model. The record is from RNAcentral.
AACGAUGGAUGCCCGCCGUUGGCGCCCUGCGCCUGCGGCCAAGCGAAAGCAUUAAGCAUCCCACCUGGGGAGUACGCCGGCAACGGUGAAACUCAAAGGAAUUGACGGGGGCCCGCACAAGCGGAGGAACAUGUGGUUUAAUUCGAUGAUACGCGAGGAACCUUACCCGGGCUUGAAUUGCAGUCGCUGCCCACAGAGACGUGGGCUUCCCUUCGGGGCGUCUGUGAAGGUGCUGCAUGGCUGUCGUCAG